Non-coding RNA from Acanthosepion pharaonis, 107 nucleotides. The record is from the annotation of a GenBank genome assembly. Lineage: Eukaryota; Metazoa; Mollusca; Cephalopoda; Sepiida; Sepiidae.
GGUCAAAUCACUCUAAAAACUUUGAUUCUCGUUCGAUCACUGAAGUUAAGCACUGUUUAGCCGUGUCAAUACUUAGAUGAGAGACCGCUUGGGAACACCAGGUAAUG